CUAGGUCGCAUAUACUAUACAUUCGUACAACUUUUUUCUUAACCUGUCAUUAUCAGAUACUGCGGCGUUAUCGACGCGAAAAAUAUCGGACUUGUUACCUCUAUUGAGCGUAUAGUUGAGUAUGUAUUCAUGCAAGCCUUAGCAUUCCCUAGUUUGGAAGGGGAUGAGGAUGAUGUAAGUUGCGGACUGAUAAAAGGACAGUUGUUACCGGGUUUGAGAUCAUUUUGCAGUGCUUUACGUGUUUGUGAGCAAGUUUGCGAUCAUGUUAAUAUAUUUGACGACAAAUGUGAUAUGUUCGAGAAGAUCGAACACGUCGAAGAGGUCAAGGAUAUGGCGAAAAAUCAAGACUUUUGUGUGCAACUGGAAGAGCGCGUAAAUAAUUGGAUAAAAGGUGUUAUGAAGAUACUUGGUGAAAGCGAACAAUUGCGCAAAGAAAACGAUUCAAGUGGACCACAGGAUGAGUUGGAGUAUUGGAAGAAGCGAGGUGCUCAAUUUUCGCAAUUGCUGGCACAUUUGCAAGAUCGUGAGGUGCAAUAUACAUUACAUUGCUUGUUUUUGUCUGGCUCCCGCAUUAUGCGAGUAUGGAAAGAAACCGAUCGAAAAAUAACAUUCUGUUACAACGAAGCACGUGAUAACUCAAAAUUCAUUCAGGCAAUGGAAACGUGUUGUCACUCUCUGUAUUUAGAUGAUCCGGUCUGCAUGAAACAGUCCAUACUAAGUCUACUUCAAACGGUGCGCCUUAUCUAUAGUGUUUCACAAUUUUAUAACACAUCCGAGAGAACCUCUUCCCUCAUGGUGAAGAUUACUAACCAAAUGAUUGAGACUUGCAAGUCCUACAUAACAUGUCGAUGUAAAGAGACUAUUUGGUCACAAGAUCGCAAUGUUAUACGUACAAAAUUAGGCAAUUGCAUUAAGCUUAAUCAUAUAUACCAUGAAACAUACUACACUGUAAGGGAGCAACCCUUUCUGCCUAAUCAAACUCCGUUUGGUUUUUCGGAAAAUUUCGUUUUUGGAAAAUUUGAUACAUUUUGCGACCGUCUUUCGAAAAUUAUUUCUAUGUUCAAUCUGAUCGAAGAUUAUACUCACCUAUUCGAACGUCGUUUGGAGGGUCUAUUGCUAGGUGAAACACUACAGGAUGCCAGCAAUCAUUUUGAGGAAGCUAAGAAAGAGAUUUUAUCGAAGAAAUAUGAUUACUUGGAUCAUCGAAAUGGCGAGUUCAAUAACGAUUUCGAACGUUUUAUAAACAAAACCGACGCACUAAAGGACACUAUAGCCAAACUUAUUGAAACGAAUUUUGACACGGUGUGGGAGACACCACAAUGCAUCCGAUUUCUUACCCGUUUUGAAAAGGUUAGUGAGAAGAUACCACUCAGUCGGAUGGAUGAAAAGUAUGUGCGCAUUAUAAAAUAUGUGGAUAAGGAAAUAGACAGGGUGAAUAAAAUGUUUAGGAAACAACGUGAUGAUCCGCCCGUUUGUAGAAAUUUCCCGCCAAUUGCCGGACGUAUCCGUUGGAGUCGCGCAUUGGAUGACCAUAUGAAAGAACUGAUGGAGGCCGUACUCGAUCAUAAGGUGCUGAGUGGAUUACCGUUAACAAAAGACUUAGAGAAUCGCUAUAAUAAUGUCACAACGUUAUUAAGAGAGUUCGAAAUCGAGAUUGUGUCCAUUUGGCUAGAUCAGGAUGUUAGCGUUGCCGAUGCGUGUCUACUACAGCCACUGUUAGCUCUUCAAGGUGAUCGCUUAAUCGUCAAUUUGCAUCCCACUAUACCCCUGCUGAUACGCGAAGCUAAGAUGUUGGCUAAGUUAAAUGUUGAAUUGCCAAUUGUGGCGGCCACACUGAUGAGCCGGCAAAAGUAUUUCACUACUAUACAGGACUCGUUGAAUUGCUUGAUCAAAAUGUUUUUGACAACCGUGCGCGCCGUCAAAUUGGAAGUGCGUCCUUUGUUUCUGCCACAAUUGGUGCGCCUAACAGCAAUGUUAAAGCCUGGCCUCCACACAAUAAAUUGGACUCAUCAAAAUUGGACGGAGUUCUAUGAACGUUGUAAACGGGCAAUCGAGACUUUUAAUGUACUCGUAGCACGUGUGCACGACAUCUACUCUAACCGAAUAUUAAAUGUGCUCAUGUGGAUGCAGGACGUCUCUUUACAGGUUUUGCCUGCAGAAGAUGAAAUCUGGACUGUGGAGGAGUUUUUGGAGAAAAGCGAAGAUGCUUGCAGACGCGCUGCUAUUGAAUUGAACCGCAAAAGUCAAAUGGUGUCGGAGGCAGUGGAGGAAGUUUUAAAUUUGGUUGAUAAGGCGACUGAGACAUUCAAGCAAAUCGCCGGCGAUGAUAUAGUUACUUUGUUUGAUGCUACUUCACGAAAUCAGACGCAACCAUCAUCGGCCCGAAAGGGAGAGGCAGAAGGCGGUGGAGCUGUUCCAAGUGCUGCCGGUGCUGGUGGGAACGGUGUCGGUGGUGGUACUGUGGGUACCCAGCAGCAAGAUUGGAGUAUAUUAUGGUCAUGCUUUGAGAAUCCCUUAACUCUUCUUUCGACCACGGAGAGUCUUCCUAAGGGAAUGCAAGAUAUGGUCUGUAAUGCAGUGGUGGAAAUGCGACGAUACUANAGUCGAAAGGUAAUUGAUGUGCUGAUUAAGGUAAUACGUGGUGCGUUAGAUACUAUUAGGCGUCGGUUUAUUGACGAUGAGAAUGAGACCAUAUUGAAAAAGCCGAUAUUCGCACUAAAUGCGCAGUUGCAGAUCCCAAAUGUGGUGAUCAAACCGAACCUUGAUGAGUUGCAAGAGAUACUGACAACCGCUGGUAAAAAUAUCACCGGCAUUGCCAAAGGCGUGGCACAGUGGACUAGCGGCAAAGANCCGCAAGUAUCAACAACGCCUCAGCCGCGAAUUGGACGAAAUCAUAAUACCGGAAAUCGUGCACGUCGUCGCAAACUAUACACUCUGGCCUCAGAGGAACGUCCACAAAUGCCUCACAUGCUGAAGUCGUUUUAUGCCGCCAUCAUGGAUAAUAAAGAGGUGGUGAAGGCUCUAAAUUUGCUCUCAAAUUGUACAAAAAAUAUCAAACCCGAAAUACAAACCUACAUAAAACGUUGGAAACCAUACCAUUUCCUAUGGAAAAAUGAUCGUACAACUCGUCAAUUAAUGGAGUUUGGUUUGCAGGAAUUCGAAUCAACUUUACGGUGCUUGGCCGAGUUGGACGCCAAUUUGCUAGUAGAGCCUGAAAUGGAGGUGUUUGGUCAUUGUGUAUCCGUUUACAAUGAACGACUUAAAUAUGGAUUGGCCAUUGAGAUCAAAUCUUGUAAUCAUAAGAUCGGACAAGCUAUGAAGAAGAAAUACAAAAAAGAGAUGGACUACGUCUACGCGGUAAUCAAUGAAAUGGAUCGCAAGUUGGACAGGCCAAUACGUGACCUCGAUGACGUGCGCAUGAUAAUGGAAACCUUAAGUAAAAUAAGAGAGCAAGAAGUUGAUAUGGAGUUACGCAUUGAUCCAAUAGAAGAGGCAUUUAAUGUACUUACACGCUUUGAGGUGCAAGUGGAACGUGAACAAUUCGACUUGGUAGACAACUUACGGAGUACUUUUCAAAAUUUAUUGUCUUGUGCCCUUCAAGCUCAAGUGAAACUGCUUGAUAUGCAACCGUCCUUUCAGGAUGAUCUCAAGAACAAUUUAGAGAAAUUUAAACAAGAUAAAAUACAAUACGUUAACGAAUAUCGCAAUGCNGGUCCUAUGCAACCUGGGCUAACCCCACGUGAGGCCUCCGAUCGCUUAAUUUUAUUCCAAAAUCGUUUCGAGGGNAUGUGGCGUCGCCUGCAAACCUACCAGAAUGGUGAAGAAUUAUUUGGUUUACCACAAACUGACUACCCAGAAUUGGGUCAGAUACGAAAAGAAUUAAAUUUGUUGCAGAAACUCUAUAAACUGUAUAAUGAUGUCAUAGAUCGCGUGAGCAGUUAUUAUGAUAUACCAUGGAAUGAAGUGGACAUCGAAGAUAUCAACAACGAACUAAUGGAGUUCCAGAAUCGUUGCCGUAAACUUCCAAAAGGUUUGAAGGAGUGGCCGGCUUUCCAUGCACUCAAGAAAACCAUUGACGAUUUCAAUGAUAUGUGCCCAUUAUUAGAGUUGAUGGCUAAUAAGGCAAUGAAGCCUCGACAUUGGCAACGCAUCAUGGACGUUACCAAAUAUAUCUUCGAAUUCGAUUCGGAAGGAUUCUCAUUGAAGAAUAUAUUGGAGGCGCCUCUGCUUAAACACAAAGAGGAUAUUGAAGAUAUUUGUAUUAGUGCAAUGAAAGAGAAGGAUAUCGAGGCUAAGUUAAAGCAGGUCACAAACGAAUGGUCCGUACAUGAAUUACAAUUCAUGAGCUUCAACAACCGCGGUGAACUGUUAUUGCGCGGUGAUACGACUGCUGAAACAAUAGGUCAGCUAGAAGAUAGCUUAAUGGUGUUGGGGUCAUUGCUAUCCAAUCGCUACAACGCACCAUUUCGUAAACAAAUUCAACAAUGGGUCUAUGAUUUAUCCAACUCGAAUGAGAUUUUGGAACGUUGGUUAUUGGUGCAGAAUAUGUGGGUUUAUUUAGAGGCUGUNUUUGUUGGUGGUGACAUCGCUAAACAGCUUCCGAAAGAAGCCAAGAGAUUCUCUAAAAUCGACAAAUCCUGGCAAAAGAUAAUGCAACGUGCACAUGAGACUCCGGGUGUGGUUGCAUGUUGUGUCGGUGACGAUCUUCUUAAACAGCUGUUACCUCAUUUGCAGGAACAGUUGGAAAUAUGUCAGAAAUCACUGAGUGGCUAUUUGGAACGCAAACGAAUGAUGUUUCCACGUUUCUUUUUUGUUUCUGAUCCGGCACUCUUAGAGAUACUAGGCCAGGCUUCUGAUUCACAUACCAUACAAAAUCAUUUACUAUCCAUUUUCGAUAAUACGCGCAAAGUGAAAUUCCACGACAUUGAAUACAACAAGAUGUUGGCAAUAAUCUCAAGUGAGGGUGAGAUGAUACAAUUAGAUCGCGCGAUUCGUGCUGAGGGUUCCGUCGAGACAUGGCUAACUCAGUUGCUGGUCACCGCACAGCAGUCAUUGCAUUCGAUUAUCCGCACCGCUUAUGCAACAAUAAAUGAUCCAAAUUUCACCUUGUUGGGAUUUUUAGAGAAAGUCCCAGCACAAAUUGGUCUUUUGGGUAUCCAAAUGAUUUGGACACGCGACGCGGAAAUGGCGCUGAUGCAGGCCAGGCAUGAGAGGAAAGUCAUGUCGGAGACGAAUAAUAAGUUCCUUGAAAUUCUAAACACACUAAUUGAUCAAACCACAAGAAAUUUGACCAAAAUGGAGCGAACUAAUUUCGAAACCCUAAUUACCAUACAUGUACAUCAACGGGAUAUAUUCGAUAUAUUGUGCCGCAUGAAUAUUAAAUCAGCAAACGAUUUUGAGUGGUUAAAACAGUGUCGUUUUUACUUCAAAGAGGACUUGGACAAAACUUGGAUUUCAGUAACAGACGUAACCUUUACUUAUCAAAAUGAAUAUUUGGGCUGCACAGAUCGUUUGGUGAUCACGCCGUUAACAGAUCGUUGUUACAUCACACUCGCCCAGGCGCUAACACUGAGCAUGGGUGGCGCACCAUGUGGUCCGGCGGGUACCGGAAAAACGGAAACUGUAAAGGACAUGGGAAAGACGCUGGCUAAGUACGUGGUUGUAUUUAAUUGCUCCGACCAAAUGGAUUACAGGGGCCUCGGGCGUAUCUACAAGGGUUUGGCUCAGUCUGGCACAUGGGGCUGUUUUGAUGAGUUCAACCGCAUCGAACUUCCGGUCUUGUCGGUUGCAGCGCAACAAGUUGCAGUGGUAUUAACAGCCAAGAAGGAGAAAAAGAAAACAUUUAUAUUCACCGAUGGCGAUACGAUUGAGAUGAAUCCUGAGUUUGGCAUAUUUAUAACAAUGAAUCCUGGCUACGCUGGCAGAAAGGAAUUACCUGAAAAUUUGAAAAUACAAUUUCGUACUGUCGCGAUGAUGGUGCCAGACCGACAAAUAAUAAUACGCGUCAAGUUGGCGUCAUGUGGCUUUUUGGAGAAUAUUACACUGGCGAGAAAAUUUUACACACUUUAUAAACUGUGCGAGGAGCAGUUAACUAAACAGGUUCAUUAUGAUUUUGGUUUGAGAAACAUUUUAUCGGUACUACGUACUUUGGGUGCUGCCAAGCGGAGAAACUCGAAGGAUGGCGAGAGUACGAUUGUGAUGCGUGUCCUACGCGAUAUGAAUCUCUCGAAGUUGAUUGAUGAAGACGAACCGUUAUUCAUGUCGCUGGUGUCGGAUUUGUUUCCCAAUCAGACACUCGAAAAGACCAAUUACCCAGAACUUGAAGCAGCUAUUGCUCAGCAGACGGAAGAAGCAAAUUUGGUCUACCAUCCUCCAUGGGUUCUCAAAUUAAUACAACUAUACGAAACCCAAACCGUUCGACAUGGCAUUAUGACAUUGGGUCCCAGUGGUGCUGGUAAGACAACAUGCAUCCAUACACUAAUGAAGGCACUCACUCAAAUGGGUGACAAUCAUCGCGAGAUGCGUAUGAAUCCAAAGGCUAUAACGGCUGCUCAAAUGUUUGGCCGGUUAGAUGUGGCGACCAAUGACUGGACCGAUGGCAUAUUUUCGGCUUUGUGGCGCAAAACGCUCAAAUUAAAAAGUGGCGAACAUAUUUGGCUCGUGCUGGACGGUCCCGUAGAUAGUAUUUGGAUUGAAAAUUUGAACUCAGUUCUAGAUGAUAACAAGACAUUGACAUUGGCAAAUGGCGAUCGUCUUACUAUGGCACCAACUGUAAAAAUAAUUUUCGAACCGCACAAUAUUGACAACGCGUCACCGGCAACUGUGUCCCGGAAUGGAAUGGUGUACAUGAGUUCCUCAGGAUUAGAUUCCAGACCGAUUGUACAAGCUUGGCUAAAGAAUCGCGCACCUGGUGAAAAAUCAGUUUUUUGGGCCCUCUUCGAGCAAACUUUCAUUCAGGUUUACAACUGGGGCACACAAAACCUUAAGCUUUUGAUGUCGGUGCUGCAAUGCAAUAUAGUACGACAGAUGCUAUCGAUUUUACAGGGCUUGGUGCCGGUAAAGAAGGAGGAGGAGCAAGCUGUCAGCCUGUCAAGUAAAGAAACAAACGACGUAACAAAAGCGGGAAAACACAAAAUCAUAGCAAAGGUGAAUGAAAUUAACCAGGAGCGUCGAAACUCCGCCGCCAGCGGUGAUGGCGACGAGCUUCCCGAGGAACCGGCUGUAGAGGAGAAAGAAGAUACUUGUACACCCGAACAUUUGCAUCGACUAUAUAUCUUUGCACUAGCUUGGGGUCUCGGGGGAUAUCUCAAUGCCGCUGACCGCAUACGUCUGGAUUUAUAUAUUAAAGAAGCUUUCCCCCAGUUGGACUACGCGCAGGCGACUAGCACCGAAAGUAGUAUUUUCGAUUUCUUCGUUUCUGAGGCAGGCACGUGGCAGGCGUGGAAGACACUGGUCACUCCAUAUAUGUAUCCAGAGUUAUCUACGCCAGACUAUCUAAAUAUUCUAGUGCCCAUCAUUGAUAAUGUACGUAUGGAUUACCUAAUCGCUACCAUAGCGAAUCAGGAAAGUGCUGUAAUGCUGAUUGGCGAACAGGGUACUGGAAAGACGGUGAUAACAAAGAACUUUAUGAAGAAAAUGAACCCGGAGGCUUAUAUGGGUCGCUCUUUCAAUUUUUCAUCGGCCACCAGUCCAUACCAAUUUCAACGUACUAUCGAGAGUUAUGUGGAGAAACGUGUUGGGGUUACUUUUGGUCCUCCAGGAGGACGUAAAUUGAUUGUGUUUAUUGAUGAUGUCAAUUUGCCAGAGAUAAAUGAAUGGGGCGAUCAAGUGACGAAUGAAAUUGUUCGCCAAAGUAUGGAUAUGAAAGGCUUUUACAGUUUGGAGAAGCCUGGAGAUUUUACGACAGUAGUGGAUGUUCAAUAUGUAGCCGCAAUGGGUUUGCCAGGUGGUGGCCGUAACGACAUACCGUCGCGAUUAAAACGACAAUUUUGUGUGUUUAAUUGCAACAUUCCGGAUGAUGAGUCGAUUGAUAAAAUAUUUCGUGUAAUUGGUGAAGGGCAUUAUAAUGCCAAACGUGGGUUUACGUCGGAAGUACGUAGUUUAGUCAAGAAAUUAAUUGUUGUGACUCGUCAUUUGUGGCAGCGAACGCGUGAGAAACUUUUACCCACACCUGCCAAAUUUCAUUAUGUUUUUAGCUUACGUGACUUAUCGCGGAUAUGGCAAGGUAUGGUGGGGACUUUGUCAACUGUUAUAACAGCAGAUAGCGUGCUCAUGUCAUUGUGGAAACAUGAAUGCACACGGGUAUUUGCAGACCGUUUUACGACUUUUCAGGAUAAAGAGUGGUUUAGUUCGGAGUUAGCUUGUCUUGUGCGUGAGGAGCUUGGUGAAGCUUACUCGCAGAUGAUUAUUCCGAACCCGGUGUUUGUAGAUUUCAUGCGUGAUGCACCUGAACCAACGGGUGAGGAGGGAGAGGACGCUGAUAUGGAGUUACCCAAAGUUUACGAACCGGUGAAUUCUCAUGAAGUGCUCCGGGAGCGUCUCGUUAUGUUCCUCGCACAGUUUAAUGAAAUGGUACGAGGCUCUGGGAUGGAUCUGGUUUUCUUCCCUGAUGCUAUGCUGCAUUUGGUGAAGAUCUCUCGAAUCAUUCGGCAUCCGAGGGGAAACGUCAUGCUUGUCGGGGUCGGUGGAUCGGGAAAACAAUCAUUGACAAAAUUGGCAUCAUUUAUAGCUGGCUACAAAAUAUUCCAAAUUGCUUUGACACGGUCGUAUAAUGUAGCCAACUUUUUGGAGGACUUAAAAUUAUUAUAUCGCACCUGUGGUGUUCAAGGCAAAGGAACAACGUUUUUAUUUACUGAUAUGGACAUAAAAGAAGAGGGAUUCCUUGAAUACCUCAACAAUAUAUUAUCAUCUGGUGUGAUAUCAAAUCUAUUUUCUCGAGACGAACAAUCUGAAAUUGUACAAGAAUUGACUCCGGUUAUGAAACGAGAAAAUCAGCGAAAAACAGCGACCCCGGAAAGUGUGAUGGAGUUUUUCUUGGCCCGCACAUGCGCCAAUCUUCAUGUGGCUUUUUGUUUCUCGCCAGUUGGUGAAACAUUCCGAUCGAGGGUGCAACGUUUUCCGGCAUUGGUGUCCGGAUGCACUAUCGAUUGGUUCCAGCCNUGGCCAAAGGAUGCACUCGUCUCGGUGGCAAGACACUUUCUGAGUGACUUUGAAAUUGAGUGUACACCGGCAGUGAAGGAAGAGUUGGUCAACGCGCUCGGUUCUAUUCAAGAUAUUGUCGCGGAAACAUCGUUAGAAUAUUUCCAGCGCUUUAGACGAGCAACACACGUGACACCGAAGUCAUAUUUGAAUUUCAUUGCUGGUUACAAAAAUAUAUAUCAGCAAACACAGAAAGAAUUACGAGAUGGUGCAGAAAAAAUGGACACUGGAUUAGAGAAGUUAAAGGAAGCCUCCGCUUCAGUUGAAAUACUAAAAAAGGACUUGGUGGUAAUGGAGGAGGAGUUGGUGGAGGCCUCCAAAAAUGCCGAAUCUGUGUUGGUGGAAGUUACCGACAGAGCAAUGCAAGCCGAAAUUGUAAAAAAUCAAGUUCUUAUUGUAAAAGACAAAGCCGAGGCAUUAGUUGCAUGCAUUGCAAAAGAAAAAGCACUAGCCGAGGAAAAGUUAGAGGCUGCCAAGCCGGCGCUAGAAGAGGCCGAAAUGGCAUUGAAUACAAUAAAGCCAGCGCACAUUGCAACAGUACGCAAGUUGGGUCGACCGCCACAUUUAAUUAUGAGAAUUAUGGAUUGUGUCCUGAUUUUAUUCAAAAGAAAAUUACAUCCUUGUAUACCGGACUCUGGAACACCAUGUCCGAAGCCAUCUUGGCAAGAAUCCUUAAAGAUGAUGGCCAGCGCAACGUUUCUGCUACAAUUACAAAAUUAUCCAAAGGAUACAAUAAAUGAUGAAAUGAUCGAUUUACUUCAACCGUACUUUCGCAUGGACGACUAUAAUAUGGACAUGGCAAGGCGAGUUUGCGGAGACGUUGCUGGAUUGUUGUCUUGGACCAAAGCUAUGUCAUUCUUCCACAGUGUUAACAAAGAAGUGCUACCACUAAAGACAAAUCUCACUUUGCAGGAGGCGCGAUUAAAGUUAGCCAUGGAUGACUUGGCUGGCGCUGAAGAACAGUUAAGGGAGCGUGAAGAAGCACUUCAGGCCGUCAAAAAUCAGUACGAUAAAGCCGUUGGUGAGAAACAAAGACUCACAGAUGCUGCCAAUGUGUGUCUACGAAAAAUGACUGCAGCUACAGCAUUAAUAAAUGGGCUUUCAGAUGAAAAGCAUCGCUGGACAAAUCAGAGCAAAGAGUUUAAAAUACAACUUGGCAAGCUGGUUGGUGACGUUUUGCUAGCGACAGGCUUUCUUUCAUAUUGCGGUCCAUAUAAUCAGGAGUUUCGUGCAAAUUUAAUUAGAACAUGGAUGGGCAUUCUAAAACAAAAACAUAUUCCAUUCACGACGGGUUUGAACAUUAUUAAUAUGCUCGUUGAUUCAUCCACAGUGUCAGAAUGGACUUUGCAGGGGCUACCAAAUGAUGAGUUGUCGGUACAGAAUGCCUUGAUUGCUACAAAAUCAAGCAGUUAUCCACUAUUGGUAGAUCCCCAGACACAGGGAAAACUUUGGAUAAAAUCAAAAGAGGGUGAAAACGAAUUACAGAUUACAUCCUUAAAUCACAAGUAUUUCAGAACACAUUUAGAAGACUCUUUGUCGCUUGGACGACCAUUGUUAAUUGAGGACGUCGGCACCGAGCUGGAUCCAGUGCUCGACAAUGUGUUGGAGAAGAACUUCAUCAAGUCGGGUAGCAUAGAGAAAGUAUUGGUGGGCGACAAGGAGUGUGAUGUAAUGCCAGGUUUUAUGUUAUAUAUAACUACGAAAUUACCAAAUCCCGCGUUUAGUCCGGAGAUAAGCGCUAAAACAUCCAUCAUUGACUUUACUGUCACAAUGCGAGGCCUCGAGGAUCAACUUUUAGGAAGAGUGAUUCUUAUGGAGAAAUCAGAUUUGGAAGCUGAACGAGUCGCUCUCUUCGAAACCGUUAUGACAAAUCAACGCAAAAUGAAGGAAUUAGAGGCAAAUUUGUUAUAUCGUCUUAGUUCUUCACAAGGAUCUUUGGUUGAUGACGAAGCUUUAAUUGAGGUACUACGAGUCACAAAAACAACAUCCGAGGAAGUGAAUCAAAAAUUGAAAAUUUCCGAAAUAACUGAACGAAAGAUUAUGAAGGCUCGGGAAGAGUUCCGUGCCGUGGCCGCCCGCGGCUCAGUACUUUAUUUUUUGAUUGUUGAGAUGAGUAAUGUGAAUGUCAUGUAUCAAAAUUCUUUGAAACAAUUUUUGGUUAUUUUCAAUAAUUCAAUCACCAAAUCCACGAAAUCGAAUGUAACUGAGGAACGGAUAAUUAUUAUUUUACGCUAUCUGACCUAUGAGGUCUACAAGUUUACAAAUCGCAGCUUAUAUGAACGUCAUAAGCAGUUGUUCACCCUAAUGCUGGCCAUUAAAAUCGACUACCACAACGGCAAUGUGACUCAUGAGGAAUUUAUGUCGUUUGUUAAAGGUGGUGCUUCCCUUGACCUAAAUGCUGUCACGCCAAAACCAUUCCGCUGGAUCUUGGAUAUCACAUGGUUGAAUUUAGUGGAAAUAAGCAAGUUGGAAACAUUUUCAAAUGUUCUGACACUAAUUGAGUUAAACGAAAAGGAAUGGCGUGUUUGGUAUGAAGCUGAGAAGCCGGAGAAUGAGGAAAUUCCAUGUGGCUAUCAGAUCUCUUUAGAUGGCUUUCGAAAGUUAUUAUUGGUGCGUUCUUGGUGCCCGGAUCGUACGAUUUCACAAGCGAAAAAGUAUAUAGAGGAGUCUUUGGGCUCUGAGUACAGCGAGAUGCAGAUUUUAGAUCUUGAAGUGACUUGGGCAGAAUCAGAACCACGCACGCCGUUCGUUUGUCUGCUAUCUAUUGGAUCCGAUCCUACGACACAAAUUGCCGCAUUGGCCAAACAAAAAGGCAUACCUUUGAAAUCGGUUUCAAUGGGGCAGGGGCAAGAAUUCCACGCACGCAAAAUGAUAAUGGACUCAAUGUCCGGCGGUGGCUGGGUGUUAUUGCAGAAUGUUCAUCUCUCCCUGCCUUUCUGCGCGGAAGUCAUUGAUAUGCUCGUAGAGACGGAACACAUCGAUGAUACGUUCCGAAUGUGGGUGACCACAGAACCGCAUGCAGAUUUUCCAAUCGGCUUACUUCAAAUGGCCAUAAAAUUCACCAAUGAGCCACCGCAAGGCAUACGAGCCAGUCUAAAGCGCAGCUAUCAGGCUUUCACUCAGGACUUUCUCGAUUACACCGCUGCGUCACAAUGGCCACCAUUGCUAUAUACUGUAGCCUUUUUGCACACAAUCGUUCAAGAACGGAGGAAAUUUGGUCCGCUUGGUUGGAAUGUACCAUAUGAGUUUAAUCAGGCAGACUUUGCAGCGAGCGUGCAGUUCAUACAGAAUCACUUGGAUGAGAUGGAUCCAAAGAAGGGAGUCUCAUGGCAAACGCUUGUCUACAUGAUUGGAGAGGUUCAAUAUGGCGGGCGUGUGACUGAUGAUUUUGAUAAGAGACUGCUGACCACUUUUACCGCGGUGUGGUUUUGUGAGGGGCUUUUAAGUAACUCAUUCGAAUUCUACAAAGGAUACAAAGUGCCGAAUACGAAGAGUUUGCAAGGAUUCGUCGAUUAUAUAAACAGCUUGCCUGCUUAUGAUACGCCAGAGGUGUUUGGCUUGCAUUCCAAUGCUGACAUCACGUAUCAAAUUAAUUCAGCCAAAGGUAUUUUGGACACCAUACUGAGCGUGCAGCCAAAAGANGGAGGCGGGGGUGGUGGGGAGACACGCGAGAGCAUUGUAUAUCAGCUGGCCGACGACAUGCUGCGAAAGCUUCCGCCUCAGUAUAACGCCUACGAAGUGCGUGAGAACCUACUUCGCAUGGGAAUUCUUCUACCGAUGAACAUCUUUCUCAGGCAAGAAAUUGAUCGCAUGCAGAAAGUGAUUAAGAAAGUAUACACAUGCUUGUGCGACCUGAAAUUGGCGAUUGAUGGCACAAUUGUGAUGAGUCCAGCCCUGAAGGAGUCCUUGGAUGCUAUGUAUGAUGCACGCAUACCGGAAUCUUGGAUGAAGGUUAAAAAUACAAACAUACUUUCUAUCCAAUUGUGUACAUGCCAUAAGAAAUGUAUACGAAUAUAUCUUGGGAAUCGACAACUCUAGGCUUCUGGUACACGGAGCUAUUGGAACGAAAUGCUCAAUUCCGCACUUGGAUAUCAACAGAUAGACCGAAAGUAUUUUGGAUGACGGGCUUCUUUAAUCCCCAAGGCUUUUUAACAGCUAUGCGACAG
RNAcentral lists this unclassified non-coding RNA (13364 nucleotides) under Bactrocera latifrons. Its description in RNAcentral is "dynein heavy chain 5, axonemal, transcript variant X1". The record is from RNAcentral. Lineage: Eukaryota; Metazoa; Arthropoda; Insecta; Diptera; Tephritidae.